RNAcentral lists this transfer RNA (73 nucleotides) under Bos taurus (domestic cattle). It matches the Rfam family "tRNA". From Rfam's summary of the family: Transfer RNA (tRNA) molecules are approximately 80 nucleotides in length. Their secondary structure includes four short double-helical elements and three loops (D, anti-codon, and T loops). Lineage: Eukaryota; Metazoa; Chordata; Mammalia; Artiodactyla; Bovidae. The record is from Rfam by way of RNAcentral. RNAcentral also lists the same sequence under 5 other names.
UCCCUGAUGGUCCAAUGGUUAAGACUCUGCACUUCCAAUGCAGGGGGCACGGGUUCAAUCCCUGGUCAGGGAA